This 78-nucleotide transfer RNA is filed under the name Oscillatoriales cyanobacterium. RNAcentral's name for it is "tRNA-Cys". It matches the Rfam family "tRNA". Rfam says of the family: Transfer RNA (tRNA) molecules are approximately 80 nucleotides in length. Their secondary structure includes four short double-helical elements and three loops (D, anti-codon, and T loops). Lineage: Bacteria; Bacillati; Cyanobacteriota; Cyanophyceae; Oscillatoriales. The record is from RNAcentral. RNAcentral also lists the same sequence under 6 other names.
GAGAAUGUGUUGUAAUCGGACAACAUCUCAGUAUGCAAAACUGAAGAUUUGGGGGUUCAAAUCCCUCCGUUCUCGCCA